AUACUUACCUGGACGGGGUCAAUGGGUGAUCAGCAAGGCCCAUGGCUUAGGAAGGUGGUCUCUAUUGCACUUAGGUGGUGCACCCUUCUAAGGUCUGCCCAACAGGCAGAGCCUACGUCAUAAUUUGUGGCAGUGGGGGCCUGCGUUCGCGCGGCCCUGUC
Small nuclear RNA from Mangifera indica (mango), 161 nucleotides. RefSeq annotates it as U1 spliceosomal RNA. NCBI's taxonomy places the organism in Eukaryota, Viridiplantae, Streptophyta, Magnoliopsida, Sapindales, Anacardiaceae. The record is from RefSeq and is a predicted model, not a curated record. The transcript has a single exon.